Molecule: ribosomal RNA, 301 nt
Filed under: uncultured bacterium
Lineage: Bacteria
Description: partial 16S ribosomal RNA
Rfam family: Bacterial small subunit ribosomal RNA
Source: RNAcentral
CAGUAGCCGCGGGAAUACGUAGGUGGCAAGCGUUGUCCGGAAUUAUUGGGCGUAAAGGGCUCGCAGGCGGUUUCUUAAGUCUGAUGUGAAAGCCCCCGGCUCAACCGGGGAGGGUCAUUGGAAACUGGGAAACUUGAGUGCAGAAGAGGAGAGUGGAAUUCCACGUGUAGCGGUGAAAUGCGUAGAGAUGUGGAGGAGCACCAGUGGCGAAGGCGACUCUCUGGUCUGCAACUGACGCUGAGGAGCGAAAGCGUGGGGAGCGAACAGGAUUAGAUACCCGCGUAGUCCCUGUCUCUUAUAC